CGGUCUACUAGUAAAGUGGCGGACGGGUGCGUAACACGUGGGUAAUCUACCUUCCGGCGGGGGACAACAGUCCGAAAGGAUUGCUAAUACCGCGUACGUCAGCGGCGCCUACGGGCGCUGUUGGGAAAGAUGGCCUCUCCAUGGAAGCUGUCACCGGAAGAUGAGCCCGCGUCCCAUCAGCUAGUUGGUGAGGUAAUGGCUCACCAAGGCAAAGACGGGUAGCUGGUCUGAGAGGAUGAUCAGCCACACUGGGACUGCGACACGGCCCAGACUCCUACGGGAGGCAGCAGUGGGGAAUAUUGGGCAAUGGGCGAAAGCCUGACCCAGCCACGCCGCGUGAGUGAUGAAGGCCUUCGGGUCGUAAAGCUCUGUGGGGAGGGACGAACAAAUCUGGGGCUAAUCACCCGGGUCCUGACGGUACCUCCUUAGCAAGCACCGGCUAACCCUGUGCCAGCAGCCGCGGUAAUACAGGGGGUGCAAACGUUGCUCGGAAUCAUUGGGCGUAAAGCGCACGUAGGCGGUCUGUUAUGUCGGAUGUGAAAGCCCUUGGCUUAACUGAGGAAGUGCAUCCGAAACUGGCAGGCUAGAGUACCAAAGA
RNAcentral lists this ribosomal RNA (598 nucleotides) under uncultured soil bacterium. RNAcentral's name for it is "bacterial SSU rRNA". It matches the Rfam family "Bacterial small subunit ribosomal RNA", at positions 80 to 655 of the family's 1533-position model. The record is from RNAcentral.